RNAcentral lists this non-coding RNA (114 nucleotides) under Shouchella lehensis G1. RNAcentral's name for it is "Bacillus lehensis G1 SAM riboswitch aptamer (S box leader)". It matches the Rfam family "SAM riboswitch aptamer (S box leader)". Rfam says of the family: The SAM riboswitch is found upstream of a number of genes which code for proteins involved in methionine or cysteine biosynthesis in Gram-positive bacteria. The record is from Rfam by way of RNAcentral. Lineage: Bacteria; Bacillati; Bacillota; Bacilli; Caryophanales; Bacillaceae.
CUCUUAUAAAGAGCAGGUGGAGGGACGAGCCCGUUGAAGCCCGGCAACCUGUUUCAGUCGCUAGACUGAUUCAAGGUGCUAAUUCUCUCGCGCAUUGUGCGUGGCAGAUAAGAG